GAAGCACGCCAGACCGCCGCUGGUGCAAUCUGGGAAACCAGGCACUGGAGGAACGUCCGGACUGCACAGGGCAGCGCAGCAGCCAACGGCUGUCCACCGUGAGGUGAGGAUCAGAGCAACAGAGACGAGUCGAAUCAGGCAGCAAGCCACCGACGGUGUUCUAUCGGUCGCCCGCGCAAGCGGGCCAGGCUGGCGCAAGCCAGACGGUUUGCGGCGAAAGCCGCAAAGACCAUAGUCACCCGAAGCGGGCGGCGCCCGCUUCGGGUGAAACGGGCAAUCUCUGCGCGCAGCAACACCAAGUAGGCACACGUUGACGGGGCCCCCGGAGUGUGCGGGUAGGUGGCAUCGAGCCGGCGGGGCGACCCUCGGCCCAGAUUAAUGGCGGUCACAUGCGGGCAACCGCAUGCACAGAAUCCGGCUUAUCGGCGGGCUUCACAC
RNAcentral lists this RNase P RNA (438 nucleotides) under Burkholderiales bacterium 66-5. RNAcentral describes it as "RNase P RNA component class A". It matches the Rfam family "Bacterial RNase P class A". Rfam says of the family: Ribonuclease P (RNase P) is a ubiquitous endoribonuclease, found in archaea, bacteria and eukarya as well as chloroplasts and mitochondria. Its best characterised activity is the generation of mature 5'-ends of tRNAs by cleaving the 5'-leader elements of precursor-tRNAs. Lineage: Bacteria; Pseudomonadati; Pseudomonadota; Betaproteobacteria; Burkholderiales. The record is from RNAcentral.